RNAcentral lists this small nucleolar RNA (81 nucleotides) under Carlito syrichta (Philippine tarsier). RNAcentral describes it as "Small nucleolar RNA SNORD115 (ENSTSYG00000030790.1)". It matches the Rfam family "Small nucleolar RNA SNORD115". From Rfam's summary of the family: HBII-52 is a member of the C/D class of snoRNAs, which contain the C (UGAUGA) and D (CUGA) box motifs. HBII-52 is encoded in a tandemly repeated array with another C/D snoRNA, HBII-85, in the Prader-Willi syndrome (PWS) region of chromosome 15. The record is from Rfam by way of RNAcentral. Lineage: Eukaryota; Metazoa; Chordata; Mammalia; Primates; Tarsiidae.
GGGUCAAUGAUGAGUACUUUAUAUUGCCUUAUGGGUUAGUGAUGACUUGAAUAUCACAUACAAGGCACGACACUGAGGCCC